This 72-nucleotide transfer RNA is filed under the name Ictidomys tridecemlineatus (thirteen-lined ground squirrel). Its description in RNAcentral is "Spermophilus tridecemlineatus (thirteen-lined ground squirrel) tRNA". It matches the Rfam family "tRNA". From Rfam's summary of the family: Transfer RNA (tRNA) molecules are approximately 80 nucleotides in length. The record is from Rfam by way of RNAcentral. Lineage: Eukaryota; Metazoa; Chordata; Mammalia; Rodentia; Sciuridae.
UGGGAUUUGGCUCAAUGGUAGAGUGCUUGCCUAGCAUGUGUGAGGCACUGGGUUUGAUUCUCAGCAUCACAU